Long non-coding RNA from Oryzias latipes (Japanese medaka), 863 nucleotides. RefSeq lists it as uncharacterized. NCBI's taxonomy places the organism in Eukaryota, Metazoa, Chordata, Actinopteri, Beloniformes, Adrianichthyidae. The record is from RefSeq and is a predicted model, not a curated record.
UGUGCAAGUGAGGGUUUUGUCUGGCAGUCAUGGCGAGCUCCUGAGAUGCAAACAUUUCAAUGCUUGGAUGACUUUGGUGAAGCCAUUGAGGCAUCAAAGAAAGCACUGUGAUGGACUGGCGAAGGUGUACCCCGCCCCUUGACAGUAGCUGGGAUAGGUUCCAGAAGCCCCAUGACCUCGAUUUGUAGCAGUUUUGAUUUUGCUUUUCGCCACUGGCUGGACACAGAAGACUGCAAAAGCAUUUGCCAAAAGGAUAUCUUUCUUACAGAAUAACAUUGCAUUCUUUUAACAAGUGCACAUUAAUAGAUUUCUUUUCAAAUUACUUUGAGCAAACAUCUGUUAGUCUGCAUGCAUGCAGUCCCAUUUGCACAUUUGCAGAAUCUGUGUGCAUUUUCCUAAAGAAUAACAGAGUGUUUCUCUGUGUGUUUAAGCACAUAUGCGCAUGUUUACACAUAAGUGUGCUUUUGAGAGACUUUUUCCUGCAAGUGCUGUGAUGUCAGCUAUGUCUGGCGACAGUGUGAUUAAUGUCUGAAUGUUUUCCAGCUAUUUAGCCCUGAAAAAGCUCCUCUGGGCACUCCUCACAUUUUCAGGGUAAACAGGAAGAAACAAGUUUAACGAUAACAGAUGAUGAAGACAGAAGAUGGUCAAGAUGGUCUUUACUUCCCUUAUCAGAUCUCAGCGCAAUCAAUCUGAGUAUUUUAUUCCACAGAUUGGAGCAUGUCUUUGCAGGAAACAUAAAAGGGUGAAAAAAUUCUUAUGUUUUUUGUUAGUCAACUUGGAUUUUAAUGCAGAAAGAUGAAACAUUUUAAGCUUUUUUGUGCAAUCAAUUUUGAUAGUCUACAGUUAUAGAAACCUCAACUUUA